Molecule: ribosomal RNA, 531 nt
Filed under: Triticum aestivum (bread wheat)
Lineage: Eukaryota; Viridiplantae; Streptophyta; Magnoliopsida; Poales; Poaceae
Description: partial small subunit ribosomal RNA
Source: RNAcentral
AUGGAGUACCAGCCCAUCAUCUCAGCGCUUGAUACAAGCACGGAGCCGGUAUCGGUCGACAUCCUCUUCUCCAUGGUGGCGAAUUUCGACCAGCGAGUCGAGAUGUUCCAUGGUACAAACGCCGGAUCCUUCAAAUCAUCGGCGAAUACUGCAUCUCGUGGUCGCCAGGGAAACACCAAAACCUACCAAAACCAGCGGAGUGGUGGAGGUGGUGGUGGAUCCCGUGGUGGUGGCGGCCAGUACGGAGGCGGUGGCGGCGGACAAUACGGUGGUGGCGGUGGCUACCACAACGGCGGCAACAAUCAGGGCGGUGGCGGCGGCUACCACCCAAACAACAGUGGUGGCGGCGGCUAUCCGGGCGGCGGCGGCUACCAUAGUGGUGGUGGUGGCGGCUAUCCUGGUGGGGGUGGCGGCUACUACCAGGGCAACCCUCGCAGUGGCAACAACAGGCGCCCCCCCCCCCGGCAACAACAAUCGGGGGCGCAAUUUCCAGGGCUACGAAGGAUACGAAGGGAAGUGCCAAAUCUGUAA